Molecule: ribosomal RNA, 425 nt
Filed under: uncultured bacterium
Lineage: Bacteria
Description: bacterial SSU rRNA
Rfam family: Bacterial small subunit ribosomal RNA
Source: RNAcentral
GAAUCUUCCACAAUGGACGAAAGUCUGAUGGAGCAAUGCCGCGUGAGUGAAGAAGGUUUUCGGAUCGUAAAACUCUGUUGUGCGGGAAGAACAAGUACGAGAGUAACUGCUCGUACCUUGACGUUACCUCAUUAUAACGCCACGGCUAACUCCGUGCCACCAGCCGCGGUAAUACGGAGGUGGCAAGCGUUGUCCGGAAUUAUUGGGCGUAAAGCGCGCGCAGGCGGUCCUUUAAGUCUGAUGUGAAAUCCCACGGCUCAACCGUGGAAGGUCAUUGGAAACUGGGGGACUUGAGUACAGAAGAGGAAAGCGGAAUUCCAAGUGUAGCGGUGAAAUGCGUAGAGAUUUGGAGGAACACCAGUGGCGAAGGCGGCUUUCUGGUCUGUAACUGACGCUGAGGCGCGAAAGCGUGGGGAGCAAACAGG